CAUAUCGACGGGGAGGUUUGGCACCUCGAUGUCGGCCCGUCGCAUCCUGGGGCUGAAGAAGGUCCCAAGGGUUAGGCUGUUCGCCUAUUAAAGCGGCACGCGAGCUGGGUUCAGACCGACGUGAGUCAGGUCGGUCCCUAUCUGUCGUGGGCGUAGCAAAUGUGACAGGAGACAACUUUAGUACGAGAGGAUUGGGUUGUAGGUACCUCUGGUGCACCUGUUGUUCCGCUAGGAGCAGCGCAGGGUAGCUAUGUACCGAAAGGAUAAACGCUGAAAGCAUCUAAGCGUGAAGCCCCCCUGAAGAUAACAUUUGCAUGCACGUAUGUGCGAGAGACCCCUUGUAGACUACGAGGUAGAUAGGCCGGAAGUGUAAGCGCAGAGAUGCGUGUAGCUGACCGGUACUAAUGG
This 408-nucleotide ribosomal RNA is filed under the name Symbiodinium sp. clade D. Its description in RNAcentral is "partial Bacterial large subunit ribosomal RNA". It matches the Rfam family "Bacterial large subunit ribosomal RNA", at positions 2501 to 2907 of the family's 2925-position model. Lineage: Eukaryota; Dinophyceae; Suessiales; Symbiodiniaceae. The record is from RNAcentral.